This 506-nucleotide ribosomal RNA is filed under the name uncultured bacterium. Its description in RNAcentral is "partial 16S ribosomal RNA". It matches the Rfam family "Bacterial small subunit ribosomal RNA", at positions 29 to 523 of the family's 1533-position model. The record is from RNAcentral.
AGUGAACGCUGGCGGUAGGCCUAACACAUGCAAGUCGAACGGCAGCACAGGAGAGCUUGCUCUCUGGGUGGCGAGUGGCGGACGGGUGAGGAAUACAUCGGAAUCUACUCUGUCGUGGGGGAUAACGUAAGGAAACUUACGCUAAUACCGCAUACGACCUACGGGUGAAUGCAGGGGACCUUCGGGCCUUGCGCGAUUGAAUGAGCCGAUGUCGGAUUAGCUAGUUGGCGGGGUAAAGGCCCACCAAGGCGACGAUCCGUAGCUGGUCUGAGAGGAUGAUCAGCCACACUGGAACUGAGACACGGUCCAGACUCCUACGGGAGGCAGCAGUGGGGAAUAUUGGACAAUGGGCGCAAGCCUGAUCCAGCCAUACCGCGUGGGUGAAGAAGGCCUUCGGGUUGUAAAGCCCUUUUGUUGGGAAAGAAAUCCAGCUGGCUAAUACCCGGUUGGGAUGACGGUACCCAAAGAAUAAGCACCGGCUAACUUCGUGCCAGCCGCCGCAGUAA